CCUACGGGAGGCAGCAGUGAGGAAUAUUGGUCAAUGGACGCAAGUCUGAACCAGCCAUGCCGCGUGAAGGAUGACGGCUCUAUGAGUUGUAAACUUCUUUUGUACAGGGAUAAACGCAGGCACGUGUAUCUUUUUGAAUGUAUCUUAUGAAUAAGGAUCGGCUAACUCCGUGCCAGCAGCCGCGGUAAUACGGAGGAUCCAAGCGUUAUCCGGAUUUAUUGGGUUUAAAGGGAGCGUAGACGGGUGGUUAAGUCAGUUGUGAAAUUCUGCGGCUCAACCUCGGAAUUGCAAUUGAUACUGGUCGGCUAGAGUGCAGUUGAGGUAGGCGGAAUGCAUGGUGUAGCGGUGAAAUGCUUAGAUAUCACGCAGAACACCGAUUGCGAAGGCAGCUUACGAAGCUAUGACUGACGUUGAGGCUCGAAAGCGUGGAGAGCAAACAGGAUUAGAUACCCUAGUAGUC
RNAcentral lists this ribosomal RNA (460 nucleotides) under uncultured bacterium. RNAcentral's name for it is "partial 16S ribosomal RNA". It matches the Rfam family "Bacterial small subunit ribosomal RNA", at positions 338 to 795 of the family's 1533-position model. The record is from RNAcentral.